GCAUGCCGGGUAACGCCCGGCCGCGGCAACGCGAGGGAAAGUGCCGCAGAGAGUAGACCGCCCCCGAUAGGCCGGGGGUAAGGGUGAAAGGGUGCGGUAAGAGCGCACCGCUCCUCCGGAAACGGAGGGGGCACGGUAAACCCCAUGCGGAGCAAGGCCAAAUAGGGGGGCCGAGGGUUGCCUGUCCUCGCAUCCCACCUUUGGUGGGUGAGGUCCCCGGGUUGGCUGCUCGAGCCGCGUGGUAACGCGCGGCCCAGAUGAAUGGACGCCACCCUACGGGGUACAGAAUCCGGCCUAUAGCCUCCUCCAGCCA
This 313-nucleotide RNase P RNA is filed under the name Candidatus Sulfomarinibacter kjeldsenii. Its description in RNAcentral is "partial RNase P RNA component class A". It matches the Rfam family "Bacterial RNase P class A", at positions 69 to 367 of the family's 367-position model. From Rfam's summary of the family: Ribonuclease P (RNase P) is a ubiquitous endoribonuclease, found in archaea, bacteria and eukarya as well as chloroplasts and mitochondria. Its best characterised activity is the generation of mature 5'-ends of tRNAs by cleaving the 5'-leader elements of precursor-tRNAs. Lineage: Bacteria; Pseudomonadati; Acidobacteriota; Thermoanaerobaculia; Thermoanaerobaculales; Candidatus Sulfomarinibacteraceae. The record is from RNAcentral.